AGCGAACGCUGGCGGCAGGCUUAACACAUGCAAGUCGAACGCCCCGCAAGGGGAGUGGCAGACGGGUGAGUAACACGUGGGAACGUACCCUUUGGUUCGGAAUGACUUGGGGAAACUCAAGCUAAUACCGGAUAAGCCCUUAUGGGGAAAGGUUUACUGCCGAAGGAUCGGCCGGCGUCUGAUUAGCUAGUUGGUGAGGUAAUGGCUCACCAAGGCGACGAUCAGUAGCUGGUCUGAGAGGAUGACCAGCCACACUGGGACUGAGACACGGCCCAGACUCCUACGGGAGGCAGCAGUGGGGAAUAUUGGACAAUGGGGGCAACCCUGAUCCAGCCAUGCCGCGUGAGUGAUGAAGGCCUUAGGGUUGUAAAGCUCUUUUACCCGGGACGAUAAUGACUGUACCGGGAGAAUAAGCCCCGGCUAACUUCGUGCCAGCCGCCGCCGUAA
This 447-nucleotide ribosomal RNA is filed under the name uncultured bacterium. RNAcentral describes it as "partial 16S ribosomal RNA". It matches the Rfam family "Bacterial small subunit ribosomal RNA", at positions 29 to 523 of the family's 1533-position model. The record is from RNAcentral.